GGGCUACCAUGCAAGUCGAGCGGAUGAGAGGAGCUUGCUCCUUGAUUUAGCGGCGGACGCGGUGAGUAAUGCCUAGGAAUCUGCCUGGUAGUGGGGGAUAACGUUCCGAAAGGAACGCUAAUACCGCAUACGUCCUACGGGAGAAAGCAGGGGACCUUCGGGCCUUGCGCUAUCAGAUGAGCCUAGGUCGGAUUAGCUAGUUGGUGAGGUAAUGGCUCACCAAGGCGACGAUCCGUAACUGGUCUGAGAGGAUGAUCAAUCACACUGGAACUGAGACACGGUCCAGACUCCUACGGGAGGCAGCAGUGGGGAAUAUUGGACAAUGGGCGAAAGCCUGAUCCAGCCAUGCCGCGUGUGUGAAGAAGGUCUUCGGAUUGUAAAGCACUUUAAGUUGGGAGGAAGGGCAUUAACCUAAUACGUUAGUGUUUUGACGUUACCGACAGAAUAAGCACCGGCUAACUUCGUGCCAGCAGCCGCGGUAA
RNAcentral lists this ribosomal RNA (482 nucleotides) under uncultured Pseudomonas sp. RNAcentral's name for it is "bacterial SSU rRNA". It matches the Rfam family "Bacterial small subunit ribosomal RNA", at positions 44 to 523 of the family's 1533-position model. Lineage: Bacteria; Pseudomonadati; Pseudomonadota; Gammaproteobacteria; Pseudomonadales; Pseudomonadaceae. The record is from RNAcentral.